AUGUCCUUCAGAUUCGUCACGAGGGAUGCGCUGCUCAUUAUCUAUGCAAGUCUAGAUACAAAUUCUGUAACAUUUGAAGAACUGACACGCAUAUGUUUAAUCUGGUCGGUAAUUCAUAAGUCACAAAAAAUGGUAGUAGUAACAUUCAUAAAAAUGCCACUUUCUAGCAGAGUCGACAAAGGGGCAAAAAAUCAGAAAAGUUCUACUGAACUUGUGAUAAAGUCCAUAAAUUGCCUUCAUAAAGUUUUGUACUAUUUUCAUAACCUUCAAAUUCACAUGUACACAAAGUUAUUCAAGGAUUCAUACAAACUACCAGCUAGUUAA
This 324-nucleotide ribosomal RNA is filed under the name Triticum aestivum (bread wheat). RNAcentral's name for it is "partial small subunit ribosomal RNA". The record is from RNAcentral. Lineage: Eukaryota; Viridiplantae; Streptophyta; Magnoliopsida; Poales; Poaceae.